AUACGGAGGAUGCAAGCGUUAUCCGGAUUUAUUGGGUUUAAAGGGUGCGUAGGCGGUUUGCUAAGCGGGAGGUGAAAUGCCGGCGCUCAACGUCGGAAGUGCCUCCCGAACUGGUGGACUUGAAUGACUCUGCCGUGGGAGGAAUGUGUAGUGUAGGGGGGAAAUGCUUAGAGAUUACACAGAACACCGAUUGCGAAGGCAUCUCACGAAGGGUUGAUUGACGCUGAGGCACGAAAGCGUGGGGAUCAAACAGGAUUAGAUACCCUGGUAGUCCACGCAGUAAACGAUGAUGGCUAACCGCUGGGCUUAUCAGUUCAGUGGCCAAGCGAAAGCGAUAAGCCAUCCACCUGGGGAGUACGACCGCAAGGUUGAAACUCAAAGGAAUCGACGGGG
This 393-nucleotide ribosomal RNA is filed under the name uncultured bacterium. RNAcentral's name for it is "partial 16S ribosomal RNA". It matches the Rfam family "Bacterial small subunit ribosomal RNA", at positions 523 to 918 of the family's 1533-position model. The record is from RNAcentral.